CGGUGAAGCCCAGCUUGCUGGGUGGAUCAGUGGCGAACGGGUGAGUAACACGUGAGCAACCUGCCCUCCACUUCGGGAUAAGCCUUGGAAACGGGGUCUAAUACCGGAUAUGAGCGCUCAUCGCAUGGUGGGUGUUGGAAAGUUUUUCGGUGGGGGAUGGGCUCGCGGCCUAUCAGCUUGUUGGUGGGGUGAUGGCCUACCAAGGCGUCGACGGGUAGCCGGCCUGAGAGGGCGACCGGCCACACUGGGACUGAGACACGGCCCAGACUCCUACGGGAGGCAGCAGUGGGGAAUAUUGCACAAUGGGCGCAAGCCUGAUGCAGCGACGCCGCGUGAGGGAUGACGGCCUUCGGGUUGUAAACCUCUUUCAGCAGGGAAGAAGCGCAAGUGACGGUACCUGCAGAAGAAGCGCCGGCUAACUACGUGCCAGCCCCCGGCGGUUCGGGUGCUACCAUGCAGUCGAACGGUGA
This 470-nucleotide ribosomal RNA is filed under the name Isoptericola variabilis. RNAcentral's name for it is "bacterial SSU rRNA". It matches the Rfam family "Bacterial small subunit ribosomal RNA", at positions 67 to 541 of the family's 1533-position model. Lineage: Bacteria; Bacillati; Actinomycetota; Actinomycetes; Micrococcales; Promicromonosporaceae. The record is from RNAcentral.